RNAcentral lists this long non-coding RNA (1370 nucleotides) under Triticum aestivum (bread wheat). RNAcentral describes it as "long non-coding RNA (TAES_LNC026033)". The record is from RNAcentral. Lineage: Eukaryota; Viridiplantae; Streptophyta; Magnoliopsida; Poales; Poaceae.
UCCGGUCGAGGGUUAUGGCGACACGGACACGGAGGCUCUGGCCGUGGCCACCGCGAUGUAUGCCCCGCCCCUGCUUGCCGAGCACUACCUCGCCGGGAGGAGGGUUAUGGCGACACGGACACGGAGGCUCUGGCCGUGGCCACCGCGAUGUAUGCCCCGCCCCUGCUUGCCGAGCACUACCUCGCCGGAUCACAUGUUGUUUGAUUCACUGUUUGGUUGAAGUGUAUACUGAUUACACCUUCUACCAUGUUGAUUCGCUGCAGAUAGACGUGAUGGUGAGGGUUGUCGACGGGUCUUUGUCCCAUGUGGUGGCCGAGUCGAGGUGAACACAGGCAAUGUUCGUCAUGCUUAACAGGUAAUGUCAAAGCAACUCAAUUUCUUCAAAAAUUGUAAUUUUGGUUUCAUCCUGCUUUCUUUUCGCAAAUACAGGUUCAAUACUUCUAUUUGUUUUUUAGCUCAUGUUAUACUAAUGUGAGGUUUAGCAUUAGGGGUAACUUUAUGCAAUUACACUUAGUCAAUAGCCUUUUCUGUUGCUCUCGGAUUUUUAUGUGGGUAAUGGUGUGAUCUCCGUACAGACUAUAGAUGUUGAUGAAAUACAUGUCACGCUGAAAAAUAGCAUGUCCGAGAUAAGGCAAUGGAACCUUCAUGCUUAUGAUGUAAAGGUUUUUGAGCAGAGGGACGCCCGUGAGAUCUCCUGGUGGUGUUCGGACGCGGCCGCCAGAGUUGUGGCCUUGGCUGCGGCCAUGGGCAGUUGUUGGAGACAAGCGAGGUCGGGCUUGGUUCGUCGGAUCUGUGAGUGGUAGGUUGAUUCAUGUUGGUUUUACAAGGCGGAGAAGUUUUCGUCCAAGCUUGACCACCACGUUUUUUUGUGUUCGAUGGGCUUGCACCGGAAUUUGCAGGGAGAAGCUUGCAUUGUAGCAGGCCGUGUCUACCUACAAGACGGCCAUCGACAAUCAAUUCCUGAAGAAGUUAGCAGUCUGUGCAGUAUGCUAUGGAUCAUCGUGUCCAUCAAGAGCAAUCCCUAUUGUUUGUGGUACAUAUAUUCAUCUCUGUUGAAUCUGGAACUUGGUAACUAAUUUGCCCCGUGUAUAGGUAGACAUCGAUCAAUAUGAGAGGAUGCUUAGCUACAUAUUAAUCCUUGUCAAUUCAGUACAAAUUUACUGAAUUUACAGAUGGAGGUUGUUGAGAGAACUUUAGCUAACAAUUAUAUGUCCUCGGUGAUGUACAAGCAAACACUAAAUUUUUGCAGUGUACAAAGUCCUUGAGUAAUUCCUGGCGCUACAAGUUUAAAAAAAAGAUGCCGGGUCUCUACCAUAUUCAGCCUCCACUUCAGAAUUUGAUUUGAACUAUAGGACAGUCGGUUGCUUUUG